AAAACUGUCACAAUGUUCUCCAACGUGGAGAUGCAGCACAAAAGGAUUUCACUGGCAUUAAAGAGAAUGAAUCCCAGGAUUCUAAAAAUGGCUGAACGAGACCCUUGGAUCCAUUAACUGCUAACUACCAAACUCACAAUAUGAACUGUAUGGCUUCUUCGCCUUCUUAACCAGUCUUACAUUCUUAUAUUUCAUUUAUUUUCAGUCUGGAAUAUGUAGUUCUGCAAUUUUUUUCU
This is a non-coding RNA of Lepisosteus oculatus (spotted gar), 236 nucleotides long. NCBI's taxonomy places the organism in Eukaryota, Metazoa, Chordata, Actinopteri, Semionotiformes, Lepisosteidae. The record is from RefSeq and is a predicted model, not a curated record.